AUCUUUUUUUUAUAAGGACAGAUCAGAUUCAUUGAAUCUAAUAAAAUCUAGUCAGUAAAUAAUAACCAGAUUCAAUGAAUCUAUCUGUCAAUAUCAAAAUUAGGU
This 105-nucleotide microRNA precursor is filed under the name Vriesea carinata. Its description in RNAcentral is "miR10206a stem-loop (vca-MIR10206a)". The record is from miRBase by way of RNAcentral. Lineage: Eukaryota; Viridiplantae; Streptophyta; Magnoliopsida; Poales; Bromeliaceae.